Molecule: small nuclear RNA, 107 nt
Organism: Ochotona curzoniae (black-lipped pika)
Lineage: Eukaryota; Metazoa; Chordata; Mammalia; Lagomorpha; Ochotonidae
Source: RefSeq, a predicted model, not a curated record
GUUCUCACUUUAGCAUUACAUAUACUAAAUUGAAAUGACUUAGAGAAAAUUAACAUGGCACCUGUGCAAGAAUAAUAUGAAAAUACUCGAACUUAUUCCAUAAUUUU